AUAAUUAUUUAUUAUCAGCAGAAGGUAAACACUCAGUUCUAGCUUCUCAGCCCUCAAUGUGCAUAAAAUGCUUUAAUACAUCUCUUCACGCUUACCAUCAAAAGGUUUUGGUAUCAUGAGAAAUUAUGUAAAUAAUCAUGCUAGACACACUGCAAACUAGCAAAUGCAGAUAUUAGAAGUCAAAUCAUAGUUCAAGUGAGGCUGCACCGCGUAUUUUUUUUAGUAAGCAGAUUCCUAGAAGCAGACUUUUCUAUGACACUUCUGUAAUAUUGUGUAAAUGGAACAUUGCCGCUGCCCUUUUCAAGCUGCAGAAAUGAUUCAACAGAUUGCUGAUCUCUUGGUGAAAAAGCAACUUCAUCUCUCCUCUUCCGCACAAACUCAAUGUUC
Molecule: unclassified non-coding RNA, 387 nt
Filed under: Hevea brasiliensis (rubber tree)
Lineage: Eukaryota; Viridiplantae; Streptophyta; Magnoliopsida; Malpighiales; Euphorbiaceae
Source: RNAcentral